This 497-nucleotide ribosomal RNA is filed under the name uncultured bacterium. RNAcentral's name for it is "partial 16S ribosomal RNA". It matches the Rfam family "Bacterial small subunit ribosomal RNA", at positions 28 to 507 of the family's 1533-position model. The record is from RNAcentral.
GAUGAACGCUGGCGGCGUGCCUAAUACAUGCAAGUCGAGCGAACGGACGAGAAGCUUGCUUCUCUGAUGUUAGCGGCGGACGGGUGUGUAACACGUGGAUAACCUACCUAUAAGACUGGGAUAACUUCGGGAAACCGGAGCAAAUACCGGAUAAUAUUCUGAACCGCAUGGUUCAAAAGUGAAAGACAGUCUUGCUGUCACUUCUAGAUGGAUCUGCGCUGCAUUAGCUAGUUGGUAAGGUAACGGCUUACCACGGCAACGAGGCAUAGCCGAGCUGUGGGAGGGAUCGGCCGCACUGGAACUGAAACACGGUCCAGGCUCCUACGGGAGGCAGCAGUAGGCAAUCUGCCGCAGUAGGCGGAAGCCUGGCGGAGCGGCGCCGCGUGAGUGAUGAAGGUCUUCGGAUCGUAAAGCUCUGUUAUUAAGGAAGAACAUAUGUGUAAGUAACUGUGCACAUCUUGACGGUACCUAAUCAGAAAGCCACGGCUAACUACGUG